This 467-nucleotide ribosomal RNA is filed under the name uncultured bacterium. RNAcentral describes it as "partial 16S ribosomal RNA". It matches the Rfam family "Bacterial small subunit ribosomal RNA", at positions 29 to 507 of the family's 1533-position model. The record is from RNAcentral.
ACGCACGCUGGCGGCGUGCUUCACACAUUCAAGUCGAACGGAAAGGCCCUGCUUUUGUGGGGUGCUCGAGUGGCGAACGGGUGAGUAACACGUGAGUAACCUGCCCUUGACUUUGGGAUAACUUCAGGAAACUGGGGCUAAUACCGGAUAGGAGCUCCUGCUGCAUGGUGGGGGUUGGAAAGUUUCGGCGGUUGGGGAUGGACUCGCGGCUUAUCAGCUUGUUGGUGGGGUAGUGGCUUACCAAGGCUUUGACGGGUAGCCGGCCUGAGAGGGUGACCGGCCACAUUGGGACUGAGAUACGGCCCAGACUCCUACGGGAGGCAGCAGUGGGGAAUAUUGCACAAUGGGCGGAAGCCUGAUGCAGCAACGCCGCGUGCGGGAUGACGGCCUUCGGGUUGUAAACCGCUUUCGCCUGUGACGAAGCGUGAGUGACGGUAAUGGGUAAAGAAGCACCGGCUAACUACGUG